RNAcentral lists this ribosomal RNA (484 nucleotides) under uncultured bacterium. RNAcentral describes it as "partial 16S ribosomal RNA". It matches the Rfam family "Bacterial small subunit ribosomal RNA", at positions 30 to 507 of the family's 1533-position model. The record is from RNAcentral.
AUUGAACGCUGGCGGCAGGCCUAACACAUGCAAGUCGAGCGGAUGAAGGGAGCUUGCUCCUGGAUUCAGCGGCGGACGGGUGAGUAAUGCCUAGGAAUCUGCCUGGUAGUGGGGGAUAACGUCCGGAAACGGGCGCUAAUACCGCAUACGUCCUGAGGGAGAAAGUGGGGGAUCUUCGGACCUCACGCUAUCAGAUGAGCCUAGGUCGGAUUAGCUAGUUGGUGGGGUAAAGGCCUACCAAGGCGAUGAUCCGUAACUGGUGUGAGAGGAUGAUCAGUCACACUGGAACUGGAACACGGUCCAGACUCCUACGGGAGGCAGCAGUGGGGAAUAUUGGACAAUGGGCGAAAGCCUGAUGCAGCCAUGCCGCGUGUGUAAAGAAGGUCUUCGGAUUGUAAAGCACUUUAAGUUGGGAGGAAGGGCAGUGAGUUAAUACCUUGCUGUUUUGACGUUACCAACAGAAUAAGCACCGGCUAACUUCGUG